Molecule: ribosomal RNA, 66 nt
Filed under: Flavobacteriaceae bacterium
Lineage: Bacteria; Pseudomonadati; Bacteroidota; Flavobacteriia; Flavobacteriales; Flavobacteriaceae
Source: RNAcentral
UAAGGUGGUUAUAGCAUUGGGGCUCACCUCUUCCCAUUCCGAACAGAGAAGUUAAGCCCAAUAGCG